UGGGGAAUAUUGGACAAUGGGCGAAAGCCUGAUCCAGCCAUGCCGCGUGUGUGAAGAAGGUCUUCGGAUUGUAAAGCACUUUAAGUUGGGAGGAAGGGCAUUAACCUAAUACGUUAGUGUUUUGACGUUACCGACCGAAUAAGCACCGGCUAACUCUGUGCCAGCAGCCGCGGUAAUACAGAGGGUGCAAGCGUUAAUCGGAAUUACUGGGCGUAAAGCGCGCGUAGGUGGUUUGUUAAGUUGGAUGUGAAAGCCCCGGGCUCAACCUGGGAACUGCAUCCAAAACUGGCAAGCUAGAGUACGGUAGAGGGUGGUGGAAUUUCCUGUGUAGCGGUGAAAUGCGUAGAUAUAGGAAGGAACACCAGUGGCGAAGGCGACCACCUGGACUGAUACUGACACUGAGGUGCGAAAGCGUGGGGAGCAAACA
Molecule: ribosomal RNA, 427 nt
Filed under: uncultured bacterium
Lineage: Bacteria
Description: partial 16S ribosomal RNA
Rfam family: Bacterial small subunit ribosomal RNA
Source: RNAcentral